Molecule: ribosomal RNA, 905 nt
Filed under: uncultured bacterium
Lineage: Bacteria
Description: bacterial SSU rRNA
Rfam family: Bacterial small subunit ribosomal RNA
Source: RNAcentral
AGAGUUUGAUCAUGGCUCAGGACGAACGCUGGCGGCGUGCUUAACACAUGCAAGUCGAACGGAGUUAAGUGAGAAGCUUGCUUCUUGCUUAACUUAGUGGCGGACGGGUGAGUAACGCGUGGGCAAUCUGCCCGUAAGAGGGGGAUAACACCUAGAAAUGGGUGCUAAUACCGCAUAACAUCAUUGGGUUGCAUGACCUGAUGAUCAAAGGAGCAAUCCGCUUAUGGAUGAGCCCGCGUCUGAUUAGCUAGUUGGUGGGGUAACGGCCUACCAAGGCGACGAUCAGUAGCCGACCUGAGAGGGUGACCGGCCACACUGGAACUGAGACACGGUCCAGACUCCUACGGGAGGCAGCAGUGGGGAAUCUUCCGCAAUGGGCGAAAGCCUGACGGAGCAACGCCGCGUGAGUGAUGAAGGCCUUCGGGUUGUAAAACUCUGUCUUCAGGGAAGAAACAAAUGACGGUACCUGAGGAGGAAGCCACGGCUAACUACGUGCCAGCAGCCGCGGUAAUACGUAGGUGGCAAGCGUUGUCCGGAAUUACUGGGCGUAAAGAGCGCGUAGGCGGGGAUUUAAGUCAGGAGUGAAAACUACCGGCUCAACCGGUAGCCUGCUCUUGAAACUGAAUUUCUUGAGGGUAUGAGAGGAAAGCGGAAUUCCCAGUGUAGCGGUGAAAUGCGUAGAUAUUGGGAGGAACACCAGUGGCGAAGGCGGCUUUCUGGCAUACAACUGACGCUGAGGCGCGAAAGCGUGGGGAGCAAACGGGAUUAGAUACCCCGGUAGUCCACGCCGUAAACGAUGGGCACUAGGUGUAGGAGGUAUCGACCCCUUCUGUGCCGUAGUUAACACAAUAAGUGCCCCGCCUGGGGAGUACGGCCGCAAGGUUGAAACUCAAAUGAAUUGACGG